Non-coding RNA from Chelonoidis abingdonii (Abingdon island giant tortoise), 87 nucleotides. The record is from RefSeq and is a predicted model, not a curated record. Lineage: Eukaryota; Metazoa; Chordata; Testudines; Testudinidae.
AGCUGGCUCAGGCACAGCGGCUGUUAAUUGCAGUGUAGAUGUCUGGGCUCUGGCGGAGCCAGGCUGUAGGACGCCUGCGAGGGGGAG